RNAcentral lists this transfer RNA (90 nucleotides) under Ralstonia phage RP13. RNAcentral's name for it is "tRNA-Ser". It matches the Rfam family "tRNA". From Rfam's summary of the family: Transfer RNA (tRNA) molecules are approximately 80 nucleotides in length. Their secondary structure includes four short double-helical elements and three loops (D, anti-codon, and T loops). Further hydrogen bonds mediate the characteristic L-shaped molecular structure. tRNAs have two regions of fundamental functional importance: the anti-codon, which is responsible for specific mRNA codon recognition, and the 3' end, to which the tRNAs corresponding amino acid is attached (by aminoacyl-tRNA synthetases). tRNAs cope with the degeneracy of the genetic code in two manners: having more than one tRNA (with a specific anti-codon) for a particular amino acid; and 'wobble' base-pairing, i.e. permitting non-standard base-pairing at the 3rd anti-codon position. The record is from RNAcentral. Lineage: Duplodnaviria; Heunggongvirae; Uroviricota; Caudoviricetes.
GGUGAGUUGGCUGAGUGGUCUAAGGCAACGGUCUACUAAACCGUCGAGUCAGUAAUGGCUCCGUCAGUUCGAAUCUGACACUCAUCGCCA